Molecule: ribosomal RNA, 253 nt
Filed under: uncultured bacterium
Lineage: Bacteria
Description: partial 16S ribosomal RNA
Rfam family: Bacterial small subunit ribosomal RNA
Source: RNAcentral
UACGUAGGGUGCAAGCGUUAUCCGGAAUUAUUGGGCGUAAAGAGCUCGUAGGCGGUUUGUCGCGUCUGCUGUGAAAACCCGAGGCUCAACCUCGGGCCUGCAGUGGGUACGGGCAGACUAGAGUGCGGUAGGGGAGAUUGGAAUUCCUGGUGUAGCGGUGGAAUGCGCAGAUAUCAGGAGGAACACCGAUGGCGAAGGCAGAUCUCUGGGCCGUAACUGACGCUGAGGAGCGAAAGCGUGGGGAGCAAACAGG